CCUAACCACGGUAGAGGCAGGAAAGCCUGGACCCCAGCUUGGAGGCGCGUGACAGAGGAGCCUGAGGGUGGGGUGCGGGAGGCCCUGGGAUCCAGGGAACUCCUGCUUGCACCCGUCCAUGGAUUUUAUCUGCCUGUAGUAUUUGUUUCAUCAGGCUAUUAACUUUAAAGAACACAAAUUUGAAUGAGAAUUUUAAUUUUUGCUUAUUUAUUUAUAAGGCAGAGAGACAGACAUGCAUAUCAGACCAAGAGAGCGGCCAUUCAUCAAGUCACUCCCCAGAUGCCCACAAUAGGCGGGGCUGGGCCAGGCCGAAGCUGGGAGCCAGGAUCCAUCCAGAGCUCCCGCGUGGGCGGCAGGGACCCAACUACUCGAGCUGUGACCCCUGGGAACCGGGAGCACACCAGCAGGAGCUGGCCCAGGAGUAGGGUGAGGACUCAACCCAGCCACCCCACAUGGAAAGCGAGUCUUACCAGGCUGGAUCUCUCCGGACGGUGAUGAAGACACCACGACUUUCCACAGAAAAAACAGACAUCGCCAAUGCCAGGACGUUAUCAAAAGAUAACGCUAAAAACUAAGGUCUAUUGACGCAAAUGUGGUUGGCUCAUUCGACUGAAGUAAUACGUGCAAUACCCAUGGGUUUAUUUCUUUGCUGUUUGAGAAAGUGAAGCAAUCGAACACUUACAAGGCUAAACAAAUCAAUGCUCGAUAAACGCUAACAAACAACGAAAAUGAUUCUCGCUUCCCUCCUCAUCCCCACCCUGGCAGGACGCAGUCUCUUGUGACGCUGUCUGCGUUCCUCAGAAUUCCAGGACAUUCUCUGCCUCACGCACACACGGCCUGGCCGCACAGGGGUGUGGUCCUAAACUAAAGGGAGCACACCCCACACGGAGUUCUUUGCGCUGCUCUUCCUACAUCCCAGUAUAACCCAGGUAUUUUCAUACUGCUACACACAUUUGCUUCCAGCUUUUAAGCAUUGGCAGGGCUUCCACCUCGCGGCCCCUGCAUGCCCCCUACCACCUGCACCCAACAGCAGAGCGCUUCGAAGCACUUCUGUAAUCGUGAUGACAAACAUCGACAAACACCCCGAGGCUUCUUUCUGGAAGAAACCAGAUUUCUCCAGCUAGUCUUGCAUAUUUAUUUCCCAAGAUGGACGUUAGCAUUGAUUCAGGUUCUGGAAAAAUUCACAACGGGCAUCAGAUGCAUAUAUAGAUUUAGGCUAAACUGACACUUUUAACAGAAUUUAAAGAACAAUGCGCAUUCUGAGAGAGUUGGCCUUGCACCUGGAAACUGCCCACCGUAAGUGCAUUCCAGAUCUCAAAACCAAUGGAUUUGCCAACCAUUGCUAGAAAAAGCCAAGAUCAUUGUCUUGAUAUUGUAGUCUUAAAAGCAACAUCAAUAACAUCUAAAACAUCAAGAGAACAAGGUUAACAUGUUUCUUGGUGGCCGCACUAUUCAGAACACCAGCUGAACUCUGUCUUGUUUGCAGGGUGCACUUGUACGGGCAAAAUGCUCUCUUCCUUCCAGGGAAGUGAGCAGCUGCGGAACGGAGUCUGCGAAGGCACGGAACCAGGACAGAGCCCAGCUACCUGCCGUGAGCGGCCCCUCACAGACAGCUGGCCCAGAGGAGCAGUGUCAGCCUCGCCCACGAAUGGUACAAACACAAACUAUCUGACCCUUCCAGGGCUCCGUGGAGGGCUCAGCAGCCCCUGUCAGCCUCCAGGAAUUCUGACGCACACAAAAGCAUGAGACUAGCCAGUGCAUGUGUGAGCUCAACCCUAGCUCUUCAAUCAGCUUGUUUGGCUAAAAAUGCUAUGCAAAUCUUCCCAAAGCAUCCUGCAGUAUCUGAAGGCCCCUGUCUCUGAGCUCAAGAUGCAACACAGAAAAGGACUAAAAGACUAGAAGUCACUGACAUCAGUUUUUUACAAAAGAAGAAAUGUUUAAUUUUCAGGUGCAUCUUCAGAGAAAGUCGAUCUUCCCCAUUUUUACAGAAAUGAAGAGACAUCUCUCCAGCGAUGGCAUUCAGGGCACACUGUGCAUCUGGGCAAGCAGCAGCAGGAAGUCAUCACAGCUUGUCUCCGCUCUGACCCGCAGGCGCCACAAGGCUGUCAUUCCAUCCCUGCACCCAGAGGAAAGGCCCGGCGUCCUACGGAAGGUGGCAGAAUCAUGGAGAAGAUUCUGGACAGACAGGCUACGUGACACUCACCCUCAGUUUAUGGCUGUUGACUCACACUUUGUGGUCCAAUCAUUCCGCACCACCUGCUGCUUCUUCAUCAAACCCAUUAUCAAACAAUACACAAGGUGCCCUGUGUCUCCGGGUUUCCAUCUCUCCGUGAAACCUCCCAUGUGGUGUAAAAUGUACAUCAACUGUGAUGUUUUCCUCUGUGGGUCCAUCUUUCAUUAUCCAUGGGCCUAGGAUGUGUUAGGGAAAGACCCAUCAAUCAAUAUAAAUGGAAGCAAAUGAUGACGCAAUGGAGUAUUUCCUGAUGGCCCUAGGUGGUGCCGGGCACCCCGUGUGAGUCCCAACACGCAGUCCCAAGGGCUCAGCAAACUGCCUCAGCCAUUCUGCUCAGACAGCAAAACAGCGAGGGCACAAACAUGUCAAACUCUGAGCUGGCAAACCCUGAGGUGACGGGCAGACAGCAAUUAAACAAACUGAGACGAAAACUGCAGACAGCGUAGGAUGCUGAGCCCUUGAAAGAUACUCACGGGGAAGGCACCCAAACUGGAGGAGAGUGAAUGAAGAGUUAACAGAAACCCACCCAGGAAACAAAAAAUACAGCGUGGGAACUGGUGCCAGAGACCAGGGCUUGAGUGAACACGAAAGGAAAGAACCAUCAAAAUUAUUAAUUUUGCGGAAACGCAGGUCCAAGGCAGACUGUGCUUUGCAGAUCCGCUCUCACAUCCUGACAGAGCAUUGCAGCUCCAGCCAGCGGUGUGCCCAUGGAAACCAGAAGUCAUUGUAUCCCGGGAAACUAUGGCAACCAACAGAGACAAACUGAAAACAGCCCCAUUGUCAUGAUUUUAAUGAGUCAAAGAUGUGAGUAUCCUCUACAAUGAAUCCAACUGUGAUUUGCCAAGGAGAAGAUACAAUUCAAGCCAGCCCCAAUAAUUAGAGGAGGAUUUGAAAGACUACAUUUAUGAUUGAUUUAUCCUAAUGGAUCUAUAACAAUAAACACUUAUUAAGCUGGUUCCUAAAAAGAAGCCAGGAAAAAUCAACAGAUGUGAUCAGCUCUGAUAAGCAACUGCUCACACAGUAGCAUCGAAUGCAUUGCACCUGCCAAUGUUCUGGCAACGCAGCCGGUACCAGAGCUGCGGUUGUCAGCCUAGCACAGAGAUGCCCAGCCAUCGCGUGACUGCUCUGUGGCUUUGUGCAUCUGAAGUCAUUCAAAUAAUGAAUCCAGAUUCCUUCUGCCCAGCUCCUCUCUACUUUUAGCCUCCGUUCGACUGAGGCUCUGGCUUAGCGUCUCCUCAGCCGCUCGCUCCUCUAAUCACACCAAGCUAAGGAGAAGCCACGGAGGUCACCCGUGUGGACUUAGCAUCUAUUAUUUUGACAAAUGAGUUUGCAGCAUGAAAGCAGGACUCCCACUGCACUGCAGUUUGUUUGAGCUCAUUUAUUUUGCAUAUCGUGUGAAGUUUAAUCCCAAAACUUCUCCCCCAAAGAAAUCUGGGUCAUACCUUUCUCCUUUUUCCUUACAAAAACAGGGCUAGGAAGAUUAAUACUUACAAGAAGAUAGGGUGUGUGUGUUCAGGUACGUAUCACACUGCAUUUUUUAACAUGUCAAAUGAAAUUCAUCAAAAUCUAGUGACUCCCAUGAAACAAGGGAGUGACACACUAGCAGUAGUGCCUGGUAAUCAUCAAAGCAUACCCCUCAAAUGUGAAAUGCCAUUCAAAGGGGAAAGUCAAAAGCAUCCUAGAUGAGAGACACCAUUUGUAGAAGGUCAUGCAUUUGGUAAAAGGUGACCAAUUCAUUGGUUAAAGCAGGAAACCAGAAUAAAUGUAUUUUCUAAACAUUUCAACUUAUAUGCAUAAAACAAAGUAAUUCAUAAAGGUUUUGGUGUGGACUGAAGCCUUGUUUGGAUGAAGAGCCCACUGAAUAGUUUUGUAUCCUCUUAGAUAAUACAGCAUCUAUAAUCCCAAAUCUCAUUUGAGGACUAUUGGAAACUCAAUAUUCUUGCAAAACAAUAUGAGCAGAAAAUCUCCAUAGACUUUUUUCAUUUUCCAAUUUUUGUUUUCUUGCUGACAUCAAUUGUAAUAUCAUUAUUUAUCAGCAAAUUACCUUUCCAAAUAUGUAUUUCAUCAGAACUAUUUUAGCUCCAAACAUGUUUAUCAGUUUAUAUCAUAUUUUAUUCAAUUCUAUCAUUGUAGGAGCCAGCAUUGUGGUUCAGUGGGUUGAGCCACAGCCUGUGAUGCCAGCGUCUCAUAUGGGCAUCAGUUUGACUCACAGCAGGUGGUCUUCCAACCCAGACCCCUGCUAAUGUACCUGGGAAAGCAGAAGAUGACCCACGUGCCUGGGCCUCUGCCACCCAUGUGGGAGACCCAGACGGAGCUGCAGGCUCCUGGCUUCAGCCAGGUCCAGCUUUAGCUGUUACAGCUAUUUGGGGAUUGAACCAGUGGAUGGGAGGUAUCUCUCCCUUUCUGUCUCUCCCUUUAUUUCUAUAACUCAGCCUUUAAAAUAAAUAAAUAUAUCUUUUUUUAAAUUACAUAAUGUUACAAACAAGCAAUUGAGAUAUUCAGAUUUGGGAACAAAUACAACUGGUUAUCAGUGAAACCAACAGGUGCAAUGUCACGGACAUUGACGGUAGCAGGAGCCACAGUAUGCCUGCUUUAGAGAAGAAAUGAGAGAACAAGGCUGAUCUGCUGAGACUUGUCAUAGAGAUUCUACUGUAUAUGCUUAGUGAUGGAGUAGGAGGGAGCAGCCUGCAAGUGGUGUACAGGUUUCUGUAUGAAUGGUUAUCAGUUUACAUCAUAUUUUAUUAAAUUCUAUCAUCAUAGGGACCAGCAUUGUGGCAGCCCGGACAAGAAUUUGUAGUCAGAGCCCCCUAAUACACACACUCGUCUGUUUAUUAAGUUUAAGAGAUGCUUUUAAGAGGCCAGAGUAGUGAUGAAACAGGGGAAGCCGCCUGCAACGUGGAAUCACGCAGUGGCACAGGUGCACGUCCUGGCGGCUCCACUUCUGAUCUAGCUCCCUGCUAAUGUGCCUGGGAAAAGUACCAGAAAUCGGUCUAAGUUUUGGGCCCCUGUCACACAUACGUGGGAGACCUGGAAGAAGCCCCUGGCUCUGGUCUGGCCCAGCGCUGGCCAUUGCAGCCAUAUGAACCAGAGGAGUGAACCAGUGGAUGGAAGAUUUCUCUGUCUCUCCUACUAACUCUAACUUUCAAAAGACCACCAUAAACCCACAAAUGCCUUGCAAUGACAAAUACCAAAAUCUGUAUCUAAUUCAAGGGUAGACAGAGAAGGACCAAAUAAAGCAGUGAAGCAGUAAGCUCAUUCAAAACCGGAGGAGACCAAGAGAGAAAAAAUGACCUUCUUAAGAGUCAGAGAGGGCUGGCGCCGCGGCUCACUAGGCUAAUCCUCUGCCUUGCGGUGCCGGCACACUGGGUUCUAGUCCCAGUUGGGGCGCCAGAUUCUGUCCCGGUUGCCCCUCUUCCAGGCCAGCUCUCUGCUGUGGCCCGGGAGUGCAGUGGAGAAUGGCCCAAGUACUUGGGCCCUGAACCCCAUGGGAGACCAGGAGAAGCACCUGGCUCCUGCCAUCGGAUCAGCGCGGUGCGCCGGCCACAGCGCAUCAGCUGCGGCGGCCAUUGAAGGGUGAACCAACGGCAAAGGAAGACCUUUCUCUCUGUCUCUCUCUCACACUGUCCACUCUGCCUGUCAAAAUAAAUAAAUAAAUAAUAAAUAGAGAGAAAAGUGCCCUUGAAAAGUGGUCUCCAACAUACUAAAGAAAAUUCCAGAAAACAGCUGGCAAAAAUACCGGAAAAAGGAUAAGACAGAGGGGAAACAGUGAGACAUGUAACAAACAGAAACAGAAUGUUUUGCUAAGCAAUCAAUGACUUGAAGAAAAAUACUAUACUUCAUUCGGCGACAGCAGAAAGAUCACCUUGAAAAUCCAAUCAGAGGGGCUUGGCACCAUGGCUCACUAAGCUAAUCCUCCGCCUGCAGCGCCGGCAUCCCAUAUGGGUGCCAGUGCGAAUCCCAGCUGCUCCUCUUCUGAUCCAGCUCUCUGCUAUGGCCUGGGAAAGCGGUGGAAGAUGGCGCAAGUGCUUGGGCCCCUGCACCCAUGUGGGAGACCGGGAAGAAGCUCCUGGCUCCUGGAUUCAGAUCAGCUCAAUUCCAGCCAUUGUGGCCAUUUGGGGAAUGAACCAGCAAAUGGAAGACCUUUCUCUCUGUCUCUCCCUCUCAGUGUCUGUAAGUCUACCUCUCAACACAAAAUAAAAUUUUUUAAAAAAUCCAAUCAGAGCCAAAGAAAACUCAAGUAGAUUUCUCAAAACCAUAAGUAAAUGACCAAACAAGCUUAGAGAAAUAAAAGGGAAACAAAAUUGAACACAGGCCAUCUUCUGCUGCUUUUCCCAGCCCAUCAGCAGGGAGCUGGAUCAGAAGUGGAGCAGCCAGGACAGAAACAGGUGCCCAUUAGGGGUGAUGGCGUGGCAGGUGGUGGCUUCACUGGCAAUGCCACGACGACAGACAACAACCAAUCCAGUUGAGAAGUGGGCAAAAGAUCUCAGCAGACACUUCUCAAAAGAAGAAAUACAAAUGUCGAACAAACAUGAAAAAAGCUGUACAUCACUAGCCCUCGGGGAAAUGCAAUCAGACCCCCAGUGAGACAUCGCGUCACCCCUGUCAGUAUGGCUCUUGUCCAAAAGAGAGAAACGAACGCUGGCGAGGACGUGGAGAAAGGGGAACACUCACACACUGCUGGUGGGACAUAGUGCAGCCACUACGGAAACAGCAUGGAGGUUUAAAACAAGAAAGAAACAGACUUGCAGUGUAAUCCUGCAAUCCCACUACUGGGGUUGAACACAAUGUAUCAAAGAGACACCACACCACCAUGCUUACAGCAGUGCUGUUAACAAGAACCAAAAUGUGGAACUGACCAAGGUGUCCAUCUUCAGGUGAACGGAGAAAAUGUGGUGGAAUACACAGUGGAAUGUAAGUUAGCUACAAAAAAGAAUCAAAUUCUACCAUUCGCAAUGCAACAAAUGCAAUUGGAGGAUACCACGCUGGGGAAAUUAAUUUGGACACCAAAAGACAAAAACACACGCUCUCCCUUAUAUGUGGGCACUAAAAUAAGAAAGAAAAAACCGAAAAAGAAAGACAGCCUGUGUAUACUGCUGUGAGGAGUUUUGUGAAUCUUUGUUUUGUAACAUAGUCAAACCAGUGGCACCACUAUGCUCCUAAAUCUGUGUAUGUGAAAUACACGGAAGUUGUUCACCUUAUAUAAAUACAAGAGUUAGUUCACAA
Non-coding RNA from Oryctolagus cuniculus (rabbit), 7456 nucleotides. The record is from RefSeq and is a predicted model, not a curated record. NCBI's taxonomy places the organism in Eukaryota, Metazoa, Chordata, Mammalia, Lagomorpha, Leporidae.